AUUCUCUUAGAAGACAAACUUUCUGGGACCUCCAUGAACCAUUCUCUGCUUACCUACCUCUGUACUUAUGGUCUUUCACCCUCUGUCCUUGGCUGGUUAUAUCCGGUUCCUCAGAUUCUCCAUGGAGAUUGUUGUCAUGGGGAACUCAGUGAGUCACCCUUCUCUGCAUCCCUCCCACUGUCCCUCCCACUGGCUUGUUCACCUGAGCUGCCUUGACCUCCGAGGGGGGAAAACACAUGAUCCAGAUUCUGGACAUGUCCUGAGCCCUGCUACUGCGGGCUGA
This 283-nucleotide long non-coding RNA is filed under the name Fukomys damarensis (Damara mole-rat). RNAcentral describes it as "lncRNA (ENSFDAG00000028903.1)". Lineage: Eukaryota; Metazoa; Chordata; Mammalia; Rodentia; Bathyergidae. The record is from RNAcentral.